RNAcentral lists this ribosomal RNA (344 nucleotides) under uncultured fungus. Its description in RNAcentral is "SSU rRNA". It matches the Rfam family "Eukaryotic small subunit ribosomal RNA", at positions 21 to 370 of the family's 1831-position model. The record is from RNAcentral. Lineage: Eukaryota; Fungi.
UGUAGUCUAUGCUUGUCUCAAAGAUUAAGCCAUGCAUGUCUAAGUAUAAGCAAUCAUACUGUGAAACUGCGAAUGGCUCAUUAAAUCAGUUAUCGUUUAUUUGAUAGUACCUUUACCUGGAUAACCGUGGUAAUUCUAGAGCUAAUACAUGCUAAAAAUCCCGACUUCGGAAGGGAUGUAUUUAUUAGAUAAAAAACCAAUGCCCUUCGGGGCUCCUUGGUGAUUCAUAAUAACUAAACGAAUCGCAUGGCCUUGCGCCGGCGAUGGUUCAUUCAAAUUUCUGCCCUAUCAACUUUCGAUGGUAGGAUAGUGGCCUACCAUGGUCUCAACGGGUAACGGGGAAU